RNAcentral lists this long non-coding RNA (1582 nucleotides) under Phoenix dactylifera (date palm). Its description in RNAcentral is "long non-coding RNA (PDAC_LNC013914)". The record is from RNAcentral. Lineage: Eukaryota; Viridiplantae; Streptophyta; Magnoliopsida; Arecales; Arecaceae.
AACAUUAAUAACAUGACAUGAUCCAUAACAGGAUUAGAACAGGUUACUUACUUUCUUCACAAAUCAUGUAUACAAUUCAAAUUGUAUGAAAAACACUGGUUCACCUUAUAAAACGUAAUAUAAGAUCUACGAUAAGAUUAAGACAGAUUACUUACCUCAAUUCGCUUUCCAAAUUUCUCAAGUCCAGGUGACAAAUCCUUAAUCACCUAAAACAACACCAUAGGGAUCACAUUAUUCUCCAUUUAUUUAUUAUAAAAUUUCUUAGUUCAUCAUACUAUGAACUUACUUGCUUGGAUCCCAUCCAAGGAUCUAGCCCAAGUCCAAUUUACCCAAUUUAGAGCCUUUGGGGCUCGAUUUAAAACCAGAUUAGGUCCACAUGAGUUGAUUGGGUUUUUAAUUAAAGGAUUGGGCCUCGUUUAUAAUUGGGUCCAACCUUUUCUAACCAAUUGGGUCCUCUGAUUGGGUCAAUGUGGCUCAUUUGGGCCUGAGUCAAGGUUAGCCCAAGGUCAAUUCGACCUUCUGUCAGUUGAAUUGGGCUUGAAUUGGGCCUGAUUCACAAUCAAUUAGGUCUGCUGAGACCAACUCAGCUUAAUUGGGUUCGGACCUAUUUCAAUUUAACUUAAAAUUAGCUCGGAUUUAACCCAAUUUAUAGUUUGGGCUCGUCCAAACUUAGCCCAAUCUGAUUGAGCUCGGAAUUAGACUUAGCCCAGUCUAAUUGGGCUUGGGUUAGUCAAAUUUGGCUAAACCCAUUUUAUUAUUAUUUUUUUCUUUUUUUUCUUCUCUUUUCCUUAUUUUUUUCUUUUUCUUUUUCUUUCCCUUUUUCUUUCCUUUUCUUCUCUUCUCCUUUUUCUUUUCUUCUCCUUCCCGAAGCUUCCUCUCCUCCCUUCUUCUUUCAUCCCGAUCUCCCCUUCCUCUUCUCCUCUACUCUCCGGCGAAGAGAGGACGACGAUCUCCUCAUCUCUUCCCCGACGAAGGGAGGACGACAAGUGGAAGGGGGAACGGCGAGCGGAAGGGGGCCGGGCCACGACCGACGGCGUCCGCGGCCAAGCCCCACGGCAUCCCCGACCGAGCCUGCGGCGCUCUCGGCCGCGCCCGCGGUCGACGCUCGUGUCGACGGUGCUCGCGGCCGAAGCCGGCGGCCGCCGCACACGAUGACGAGCCGGCGAGUCCUCGUUCCUUUUCUUCUUUCCUUCUUUCUUCUUUCUUUUCUUCUUCUUUUCUUUGUUAUCCCGAGUCUUCCUCUCCUCCUCUCAUUCUUUCUUCUUCUCCCUUCUCCUGCCUUUCCUCUUUCCACUCUGCUCUCCUCCCCUUCCCAUCUCAAGGAAGAAGAGGAGGCGGCUCGGGAGAGGCCGAGCUUGGGGUCACGCCACGGCCGGCGGCGCCCGCGGCUGACUCCUGCGGCCGUGUCUGUGGCCGUGCUCGCAGCCGGUCCGCGGCCUGUACCUGCGGCCGAGCCGAGGCCGGCAGCGUUCACGCUGUUGGCGACGUCCCUGGCCUUGCAUGGGUAACCCCCUCCCUUUCAUCUUCUUUGCUUUCAUUCUUUCUUUGUUAUCCUAAAUAAAUCAGGAGGAGAGAAGGCAGG